This 2513-nucleotide long non-coding RNA is filed under the name Xyrichtys novacula (pearly razorfish). The record is from RNAcentral. Lineage: Eukaryota; Metazoa; Chordata; Actinopteri; Labriformes; Labridae.
ACCAGAACAAGAGGAUAAAACUUGUCUGUGACACUGACACAGGAGAAAAAAAGAGCUCAGCUGGAGGAAAGAGGGUGAGGAGGUCCGAUUAUCUGGUAAGUUGUUUAAACUCAACAGAUCCUCACAGUGUGGUCAACCUCUGCUAUGUUUAAUGUAAACAGACUGUAGUCUGGGAGCCAAAGUCUCAAAGAAGAGUGUUAUCUUACUAGUCAGAGGGUGAUGAAAGCUUGCUGUAAAAUGGGUUAAACCUGACAUGGUCUGUUAUACUUUGUGUUUUCUGUUAACUUUGACCCAAAGAACCAAUAAUUAGAGGGUCUGCUUUGCUUGAAACAUUGCAAACAAAAAAAUUGUGGCCAUUUUAGUGUAGGUAUCCUGUAUUUUUUUGAUAGAAAAUUUUGCAAAAUAAAAUUUUUCCUCAAAUCCUUUGUGGGUUGGGCAAGUUUUCAAUAAAUGCAUUCCAGGUACACAGACCACAUGUGGUGACAACAUCCAAUAAAAAAAUAACUCUUUAAACACAUUUCUACAUGAUUUUGGAACAAGUUAUACAAAAAAUGAGGCCCUUUUUUUCACUUUUUCCAAGAUUUUCAUCUUUACCUUAUUGGCAAUCAACUAUUCCCCCAGGUUAAGAGAUCAAUCAAUAUGCAAUUUUUUUUCACCAAACAGUGUUGUCAUUCCAUAGAAAAAAAUUAUACAAAUCCAACUAAAAUCAUUGAAUAUGUGAUGUUUUCAAAUCAAAUCAAAUUUUAUUCAUAUAGCAUCAAUUCACAACAGUCGCCAUCCCAAGAUGUUUUUCAAAGAACAAGAGCAGGUUUACACCACGCUCAUUGUUUGAUGAAUUAUCAAGACCCAACCUAAGAAGGGAUUUGGCCCAUCUCAUCUAACAUGAGUAACAGUGGCAAGGAAAAACUUCCUUUUAACAGGCAGAAACCUUGAGCAGGACCAGACUCAUGCCAGACAGUCACCAAGCCGCUGCUGGGUUGGGGAGGAAUACAGAGAGAUAGGGGGAGAGAGAGAGAGAGAGAGAGAGAGAGAAGUGGAGAGAGGGCAGGGGGAGAGAAAGAGAACAAGAUAGAGGAAAGGAGAGAGAGAAUGAGUAAGGGAGAGGGAGGGAGAGAGAGUAGAGAAUGAGGGUGAGAGAGAGAGAGGGCUCUAUUUUCGUGCCUCGCCAGAGACGUGGCACAGGUGCGGCAUAAGUCAGGUCCGCCGCGCUGACAAGGCGUUCCCAAGCACAAUUUGGUAUUUUGGUGAGCGGCGCAGCCCGGCGUAAGUAUCCACCCUCCCUAACUCAGCUCCUCCCAGCGGCGGAAGUCGUAGGGAGGGAGGAGAGAGGGCGUGGAGUGGAUUUGACACAGCCAAGACCUGUAUUGACCAAUAACAUCAGCUCCUCUCCUCACCUUUAAAUCCGCCACCGGCGAGGCAUAUUACUAUUUUUGUGAAGUAGUCUAAGAGAUUAAGAGAUGUCUGAAGACAGCGAUGCCACACGAUGGCGACAGAAGGCAGCCACUAAACAAGUGUCACUGUAAGCGCUGCAGAGGGUGUCCUUCGCACUCUCUCAAGUAAGCACAGAUGGAUUUGGUGUGCGUAAGGUUGUACCCACUGGUAAGACAAACACCCUUUUCCACAAAUAAAGACACUCACAUAAAGUUGCAUUUAAUUUUUUUAUUUAAACCCCACACAGAGGUUGUGCGCACAGAUCAUAAAUUCCAAUAAUGGCAUUAAAAUCCGAACCAUCUGUGCGUAAAGGACGCAUCGCGCUCCUUGGCCUGGCUGUUUCUUUCAUAGAUGUUGGCAUAUAAAAUGAAUUUGACUCACAAAACUGAAUAUUAUAAUUUUCGUAUGUGGGCCUGACUCCAGAUUGAAUAUUUACAGAAUCUUAAUGAGGAAAUCAGAUAAACAGGUAAUUUUGAGUGAAAGGUUCUUUUAUUUUAUUUUAUUUUAUUUUUUUGUUCAAAUUUUUGAAGUAAAUAACUCACCUGGGGCCUUAUGUAUCAACGCUUGCGGCGCAAGAAAACCUUGCGUACGCCAAAAUCGGCGCACACGUCCAGAUUUAUCAUUUAUCAUUAGCGCGAAACGGUUCCAGCGCUAAUCAACGCAAAGUUAGGAGGUGGUGUAGAAAUUGGCGUUGAGCCGAUACUUGCGUUGACUGUGAUUCGCAGUUUGGCGACGCUGUGUGGCGGUGUUUGGUGACUCACUAUGUGACAAGCGUGCACCACAUCCCCGUGGCCGAGCAGCACGUCGCCCCACAUGACGAACCAGCAGCAGACAGAGGGAUGCGAGCUGAUCCCUGCCGGGCAGCCGUCCUCGCGCGGGAGAAUCUCAUCGCCACAGUGUGAAUGGGUAAGAAGUGAAUACACAGUUCAAUGAGCCAAAUUAAUUUAUUUUCUCCACCAGACGCUCGAGGACAUUUACGAGCCGGUCCAGCCGCUCGUUGAUCCCCGCGAUCCCCCUGAUGAUUUCUUCCUCCGAUUGCAGGACCCCCUCCGUGAGGACCCUUCCACUGCGUCCGGGUGGUC